This 1167-nucleotide long non-coding RNA is filed under the name Equus asinus (donkey). RNAcentral's name for it is "lncRNA (ENSEASG00005033949.1)". The record is from RNAcentral. Lineage: Eukaryota; Metazoa; Chordata; Mammalia; Perissodactyla; Equidae.
CCCUCUUUCAAUUAAGGAGACAGAUAAGCAGUUGUCUUGAGAAUAUAAGGUCACUGGCAUUCCCUAAAUGGAUUCCAGUGCCUGCUACAGAAACAAGUGGAAGAUUAGCCUGAGCUAACAUCUGCUGCCAAUCCUCCUCUUUUUGCUGAGGAAGCCAGGCCCUGAGCUAAUAUCUGCGCCCAUCUUCCUCUACUUUAUAUGUGGGUUGCCUACCACAGCAAGGUUUGACAUGUGGUGCUGUGUCCGCACCUGGGAUCCAAACCAGCGAACUCCGGGCCGCCGAAGUGGAACGUGUGAACUUAACCGCUGUGCCAAUGGGCCGGCCCCCUUGGCAAUGGUUUCUUAAAUACAACACCAAAGUCAUAAGGAACAAAAGAAAAAGUAUAUAAAUUGGAGUUCUUCAAAACCAAAAUCUUUUGUGCAUCAAAGGACACUACCAAGAGAGUGAAAAGGUAAGCCACAGAAGGGGAGGAAAUGUUUGCAAAUCACAUUUUUGAUGUGUUCAAUAUUCAGAAGUUUUAAAGAACUCUUACAACUCGACAACUAAAAAGGUUCGUUCCUUGUAAAACUCUCAGAAUACUAGAAAUACAAAGAAACUUCCUCAAUUUGAGAAAAGGUGUCUACGAAAACUCGGUAGAUAACAUCACAGUUAGUGGUAAAAAACCGAAUGCUUUGCUCUUAAGAUCAGGAACAAGAUGAGGAGGUCUGCUCUUUCCACUUCGAUUCAUCGUUGUACUGAUGUUCCAGCAAGUGUAAUAAGGCAAGAAAUAAAAGGCAUUCAGAUUGGAAGGAAAGAAGUAACACUGUCUUUAUUCACACACAACGUGAUCAUCUAUAUAGAAGAUCUUAAAUCUACAAAAAAGUUUCUAGAUAUAAUAAGCAAGUUUACCAAGGUUGUAGGAUACAAGAUAAAAAUAGAAACAUCAAUGUUCCUUCUAUAUACUAGCAACUAACAAUUAAAAAUUGUAUUUAAAUAAAGCAAUACUAUUAGCAAUACAUUAAAAAACGUGAAAUACAUAGGUGCAAAUCUAACAAAGAUGUUCAAGAUCUGUAUAUUGUAAAUUACAAAACAUUACUGACAGAAAUUAAAUAAAUUAUAAAUAAAUAGAUACAUGAUGUUCAUAUAUUAGAAGACACAAUUUGGUCAUUUUGUCAAUUUUCUCCAAG